GGACGCCUUUGUCGGUACCUGGAAGCUAGUGGACAGCAAGAAUUUUGAUGACUACAUGAAGUCACUCGGUGUGGGCUUUGCCACCAGACAGGUGGCUAGCAUGACCAAGCCGACCACAAUCAUUGAGAAGAAUGGGGAUACCAUCACCAUAAAGACACACAGUACCUUCAAGAACACAGAGAUCAGCUUUCAGCUGGGAGUAGAGUUUGACGAGGUCACAGCAGAUGACAGGAAGGUCAAGUCGGUCGUGACACUGGACGGAGGCAAACUGGUCCAUGUGCAGAAGUGGGACGGGCAGGAGACUACGCUUACACGGGAACUAAGUGAUGGGAAACUCAUCCUGGUAAGAUGGGCAACGACAGGAACCGUGCCUUCCUCAGGCCAGGGCCUUCCUGGGGUCGGGAGGAAGUAGGACGAGAGGCGGGGAUGGGGUCAUGGCUGUCACAGGUCUUGGUUCAAGCCUCAGCCUAAAAGCUAUCUGACUCUGGACACGUAACCUUCUUUAACGGCCACUAGGAUGCGUACAGUGACUGGAGCCUGGAGGCUACUGGAAGGCCAGUGUAUUCAUAGCCCAAAGCCCAGCCAAGCAGGAAGGAUGCAGCAGCUGCCCACAAAUGGUUCCUCCUGCUUGUGUUCCCGGGAGGAGGCAGAAAGCAGGGCCAAUUGAUCCCAGGAGGGGAGCAGCUGCCACUCUGUCUUCCUGAGUAGGAAUGCAGGCAUCUGCAGGAGCAAGUGUGUGCCUGACUGGCACUGCCGGGAGCACCCCCUCCUUAUUCAUGCUUUGUCUACUGUUCCUGGCUUCCUGAAAACAUCUAUUGUCUAGAGAGGAGGUGAUACAACCAGGCCUGUAGAUCUGCUUUGGGAUAAGUUUGAGAGCAUCCUUAGAAUAUAGUAGCCUUGGAGGACUGCACCUGGGCCAGGAGCAUGGACCACAAAGUCAGUACCACAGCCCUUGGUGGCUCCGUGGAACCUGCUGAUUGUGUAUUCACACGAGACUGGGGUCCCCUCUGAGUCAGAAGUCAGGUGCCUAGUUCUGGAAGGGAGGAAACAAACAGGACCAUUUCACCGGGUAAUAGAGUAAGAGGAGGCCAUGGCUGGUCUCUACUGAGCCUGAAUACUGGAUGGUCAGGGAGGAAGGGAAAGUUGGUAGCUUAGUUCCUCAAGGCUCUGGCUGCUCUUAUCACCAGUUUGUCUGCCUUGCACCAGACACCCCCUUAGGCAGGUGCUGAACAUAAAAGAGGAACAGGAAUGUACUGGAUCCUGACCAAUUUACCUCUUUCAAGGGUCUAUUUUCCCCCCAAAUCUCUAAAAUGGUAAUUAUAACAUCUACCUUAAAAGAUCUGCAUCAGAAAAAA
Molecule: long non-coding RNA, 1355 nt
Filed under: Rattus norvegicus (Norway rat)
Lineage: Eukaryota; Metazoa; Chordata; Mammalia; Rodentia; Muridae
Description: long non-coding RNA NONRATT022674
Source: RNAcentral